This 869-nucleotide ribosomal RNA is filed under the name uncultured archaeon. RNAcentral's name for it is "bacterial SSU rRNA". It matches the Rfam family "Archaeal small subunit ribosomal RNA", at positions 1 to 879 of the family's 1478-position model. The record is from RNAcentral.
CUCCGGUUGAUCCUGCCGGACCUGACUGCUAUCGGAUUGUAUAAAGCCAUGCGAGUCGUUGUAGCAAUACAAGGCGGACGGCUCAGUAACACGUAGUCAACCUAACCUAUGGACGUGGAUAACCUCGGGAAACUGAGAAUAAACCGCGAUAGAUCAUUAUGCCUGGAAUGGCUUAUGGUUUAAACAAUUUAUUGCCGUAGGAUGGGACUGCGGCCUAUCAGCUUGUUGGUGAGGUAAUGGCCCACCAAGGCUAUAACAGGUACGGGCUCUGAGAGGAGAAGCCCGGAGAUGGGUACUGAGACACGGACCCAGGCCCUAUGGGGCGCAGCAGGCGCGAAACCUUCGCAAUGCGCGAAAGCGUGACGAGGUUAAUCCGAGUGACUCCCGCUGAGGGGGUCUUUUGUCAGCUGUAAAUAGGCAGGCGAAUAAGGGGAGGGCAAGCCUGGUGUCAGCCGCCGCGGUAAUACCAGCUCCUCGAGUGGUCGGGGCGAUUAUUGGGCCUAAAGCAUCCGUAGCCGGUUCCGUAGGUCUUCUGUUAAAUCCAACCGCUCAACGGUUGACCUGCAGAGGAUACCGCGGGACUAGGAGGCGGGAGAGGCGGACGGUACUCCGCGUGUAGGGGUAAAAUCCUUUGAUCCGCGGAAGACCACCAGUGGCGAAGGCGGUCCGCCAGAACGCGCUCGACGGUGAGGGAUGAAAGCUGGGGGAGCGAACCGGAUUAGAUACCCGGGUAGUCCCAGCCGUAAACGAUGCUAGCUAGAUGAUUCAUUCGCAAGUCGCGAAUGAAGUGUCGCAGGGAAGCCGUUAAGCUAACCGCCUCUGGAGUACGGUCGCAAGACUGAAACUUCCCUGAAUUGGCGGGGGAGCAC